UUCUUUGGACUGCUUGUUGUAUAUAAUCAGGAUUCAGUCUUAUGUUUGCCGAGCUAAAUAUGAGGACACAUCAAAUGUUAUCUCAAGUGAAGUGCAUGGAAUCAUUUUGUAAUACUUGGCUCUCUAACAUUUUGUUAAUAUACAUAUAUGUGUGGGUAUCA
Long non-coding RNA from Capsicum annuum, 161 nucleotides. RefSeq lists it as uncharacterized. The transcript is spliced from 2 exons. NCBI's taxonomy places the organism in Eukaryota, Viridiplantae, Streptophyta, Magnoliopsida, Solanales, Solanaceae. The record is from RefSeq and is a predicted model, not a curated record.